This 488-nucleotide ribosomal RNA is filed under the name uncultured bacterium. RNAcentral describes it as "partial 16S ribosomal RNA". It matches the Rfam family "Bacterial small subunit ribosomal RNA", at positions 28 to 507 of the family's 1533-position model. The record is from RNAcentral.
GAUGAACGCUAGCGGCAGGCUUAAUACAUGCAAGUCGUGGGGCAGCAGGACUGUAGCUAUCCAGUUGCUGGCGACCGGCAAACGGGUGCGGGACACGUACGCAACUUUCCCUGUACUGGGGGAUAGCCCGGGGAAACCCGGCUUUAUACCCCGUAAUAUAAUGCAGUUGCAUCCCUUAUUUAUUAAGCCCCUGCGCGUUCGGAUGGGCCGGGGGCUGGUUAGGUAGUUGGCUGAGGAAACGGCCACCCGAGCCUACGGUCAGUAACUGGUUUGAGGGCACGACCAGUCACACGGGCACUGAGGCACGGGCCCGUCUGCGACGGGGGGCAGCAGUAAGGAAUAUAGGGGGAUGGAGGCAACUCUGACCCAGCCAUGCCGGGUGGAGGAUGAAGGCGCUCUGGGUGGUAAUCUGCUUUGAAAGAGGACGAAACCGGUGUAGUCUUGCGCAGUUGACGGUACCCUAGGAAUAAGCACCGGCUAACUCCGUG